RNAcentral lists this ribosomal RNA (497 nucleotides) under uncultured bacterium. Its description in RNAcentral is "partial 16S ribosomal RNA". It matches the Rfam family "Bacterial small subunit ribosomal RNA", at positions 28 to 507 of the family's 1533-position model. The record is from RNAcentral.
GAUGAACGCUGGCGGCGUGCCUAAUACAUGCAAGUCGAGCGAACGGACGAGAAGCUUGCUUCGCUGAUGUUAGCGGCGGACGGGUGAGUAACACGUGGAUAACCUACCUAUAAGACUGGGAUAACUUCGGGAAACCGGAGCUAAUAGCGGAUAAUAUUUUGAACCGCAUGGUGCAAAAGUGAAAGACGGUCUUGCUGUCACUUAUAGAUGGAUCCGCGCUGCAUUAGCUAGUUGGUAAGGUAACGGCUUACCAAGGCAACGAUGCAUAGCCGACCUGAGAGGGUGAUCGGCCACACUGGAACUGAGACACGGUCCAGACUCCUACGGGAGGCAGCAGUAGGGAAUCUUCCGCAAUGGGCGAAAGCCUGACGGAGCAACGCCGCGUGAGUGAUGAAGGUCUUCGGAUCGUAAAACUCUGUUAUUAGGGAAGAACAUAUGUGUAAGUAACUGUGCACAUCUUGACGGUACCUAAUCAGAAAGCCACGGCUAACUACGUG